UGCUGUCAGACUAGCCCAACCCACCAUCAGCUUCUGCCUCCUCCUCUGCUGGUCUCACUCAAUCAAAGCUCCCCUUCAGUCUGGCUCAUAUACAGUUUGACCAUUGUCACCUCGCUGGUUAAGAACAGGACUGUGACAUGACCGGGCAAAUGUUGGAAAUGCAGGGGGAGGAGGGUAAAUUGGAAAUGAAGAACGGGAAUGGGACCCUUUCUCAAGUAAAUAAUACCACUGGACCGGACGGGAAUACCCACCCGGGAAUGGUACUCCACCACCACCUUCAUAUGGUCACAGUCUACAUUACGGACAUGGCGGACAACAAAGCCCUGGCAUGGCAGCUGCAGCGGGGCCAGGCGCUCUGUCUAGCAACAUGAUGGACCCGUAUUAGGCAAACGACCACGGCUUCCCUAACCACCACUUUAACAGCUAAGGCCCGUUUCCGAGCCGGACGCCCUACCCCGGCCAAGGCUACGCCGUGAACUCCCCGCGCAAUCCUCCGGCUCAGGCGGCAGAGGGGCAGGCAGCCAAGCCACAGCCAGCGGGAGGAUCCACGGCUAUGGCUGCAUCGUACAAUAAUCAGAGGUAUACUAUGGGAAAUCCACAGCUCACGUCCACCCCGACUCUCAACCAGCUCCUAACUUCCCCGAGCUCCAGCCGGGGAUACCCGAAUUACCCCCAGAGCGACUACAACAACCAGGAAGGUGCUAACAAGGGACCAGCGGAGAUUGGCAGUAGAGGACAGUAUGGUUGAUGGUGCAUACACAAGCAGACGGAGCAUAAUGAUGAAGAUGAAGGCCCUGAUAAACAGUCACUGCUCAGUCUUCACCAAAGUGCUUUUGUUUAGUUGUAUGUACUGCUUGUUAAUUACAGACAUUAUUUCUCUGUAAAACUAAUAGGUUUGCCAUGCUGAUCAGCAUCCUGUAUGCACUUUAUUUGUUUUUUACAUUGAAAUAAAAAUGGAUAAAAAUU
This is a long non-coding RNA of Astyanax mexicanus (Mexican tetra), 966 nucleotides long. RefSeq lists it as uncharacterized. The record is from RefSeq and is a predicted model, not a curated record. NCBI's taxonomy places the organism in Eukaryota, Metazoa, Chordata, Actinopteri, Characiformes, Acestrorhamphidae. The transcript has 2 exons.